Long non-coding RNA from Ictalurus punctatus (channel catfish), 968 nucleotides. NCBI's taxonomy places the organism in Eukaryota, Metazoa, Chordata, Actinopteri, Siluriformes, Ictaluridae. The record is from Ensembl.
UUCUUUAGGCUAAUUUAUUCGUGCAGUUAAAUGCUGAUGAACAGCAAAGAAUGCAUCAAUCUGCACUUCAAUUAACAGUGCUAAACAUUUCCAGUUUGGGUGCUUUUAUUUUAGAUAAUAAAGCUGUGUGUCAUAUUACACCAAUGUUAUUACAAGUGUGCAUCCGGAUUGGGAUUUCAUGGGAUACAGCAAAAAUGACGGCAGGUAUUUACUCCUAUGACAUGUGGGCAAGACUCUGCAGUCAGAUAUGAAGCUUCUGAAACAAAGAGGCAUAUUUAUCAACAUGGAGCAUACUGGAUGCAUACUUAUGCAUUUACCACAUAAAUUAUGCUGGAUGAUAUUCAGUGGUGGUGGGAUUGGUAAGAAUUCCUUCAGGAGCAGGUGGGAUUGGUAAUUCCUUGAGGAGCAGGUGGGAUUGGUCAGAAUUCCUUCAGGAGCAGGUAGGAUUGGUAAGCAUUCCUUCUGGAGAGGUUGGGAUUGGUCAGAAUUCCUUCUGGAGAGGGUGGGAUUGGUCAGAAUUCCUUCAGGAGAAGGUGCGAUUCAAGGGUGUAUCCAUCAAUUAGUUUAUUUAGUCAAGUUAGGAAUUUAGAGUGGGAGUUUAUGUGGUUAACAUGAAGUGUGGUUAGGCCUAUUCAACCUCUGUGGAAACAAAAGGAAUAUUAAAACAAUAGUUUAAGAGAUUUUACCUUAGCAGAGUCCUCUUACCUUUAUGGUCCUCCACUUGUACCAUCACAAAUCAUAUAAGAAAAGUGAAAAAAUGUACAUUAUUAGCUGAUGUAAGUGUUUCUAUCACUAUGCAAGCCUAUCAUCAAUAUCAGUUAAGAUGCUAGAUCUGUUAGAAAAAUAUUAGCAUUUCCAUAAUACAAUGAAUUAAGUAAGUAUAAUCAAAAUUGGCUCAAUACUUGUUUAGGGAAACAUUUCUAUCAGAUAUGUACACAGUGUCAGACAAAAAUAGCCAAAAAAAGAAA